AAUCAACGCUGGCGGCGUGCCUAACACAUGCAAGUCGCACGAGAAAGGGACUUCGGUCCUGAGUACAGUGGCGCACGGGUGAGUAACACGUGAAUGAUCUACCUUCGAGUGGGGAAUAACUGAGAGAAAUCUUAGCUAAUACCGCAUAAUACCUACGGGUCAAAGCAGCAAUGCGCUUGAAGAGGAGUUCGCGGCAGAUUAGUUAGUUGGCAGGGGUAAUGGCCUACCAAGACGAUGAUCUGUAUCCGGCCUGAGAGGGCGCACGGACACACUGGAACUGAAACACGGUCCAGACUCCUACGGGAGGCAGCAGUGGGGAAUUUUGCGCAAUGGGGGAAACCCUGACGCAGCAACGCCGCGUGGAGGAUGAAAUCCCUUGGGAUGUAAACUCCUUUCGAUCGGGAAGAU
Molecule: ribosomal RNA, 408 nt
Filed under: uncultured bacterium
Lineage: Bacteria
Description: bacterial SSU rRNA
Rfam family: Bacterial small subunit ribosomal RNA
Source: RNAcentral